This 876-nucleotide long non-coding RNA is filed under the name Brassica napus (rape). RNAcentral describes it as "long non-coding RNA (BNAP_LNC025916)". Lineage: Eukaryota; Viridiplantae; Streptophyta; Magnoliopsida; Brassicales; Brassicaceae. The record is from RNAcentral.
AAUCAAAAAAGGAAAUCAACUUCUUUGAAAAAAUAUUUUGAUAUUGGUAACGUUAAAAUUCGAGCAUCAGAUAGAUAUUGGCUAAUAAGUUAAUUAAGAUAAUAACCAAAGCUAAAAUUUAAUAUAUAAAAUAACAAAAACCUUACUUUUACUACAUAAUACUAUUUUACUCUGUUAAAUUAUUCUAUGCAGAUAUAUAAGUUAUUUAUUUAGCUUUACUAAAAACAUUUUACUCUUUUCUUAUCAUCUUGAAUUUUAUCUUUACAAAGGAAAGGCCUAAAGAAAAAUCCUAGAGAAGAAUAAAAAAGUAAAUCACCAUUAUUGAAAAAAAUAUUUGAUCUUGGUAAUGUAAAAAAUUGAGCAUCAGAUAUUGGUUAAUAAGUUAGCUAGGAUAAUUACCAAAGCUAAAAACUGAUAUAUAAAAUAAUAAAAAACUAUAUUCUCAAAAUAUAAUAUCAUUUUAGUCUGUUAAAAUAUUAUUUUAUUCUAUACAGAUAUAUUAGUUAUAUAUUCAGUUUUAUUGAAAACAUUUUACUCUUUUUUGUUUUGAAAUUUAUAUUAAAACAGUUCAUUUAUAAAGGAAAAGCUUAAAGGAAUGUCCCGAGAAAAGAAUAGAAAAUAAUUUAAUUUUAUUGAAAAACACUAGGCAAAAUCUUCGGUACGCUGCAGAUAUUUUUAACACAUAUUAGUUUACUAGGUGGACAACCUGCCCGCAUGUGCAAACAUUAAUAUAAUUCAUAUAUUGUAUCUAUAGCUAUUAUUAAAUGUAUAAGUAGAUGGUAAUUCUUUCACACUAAUUCUGUCUUUUUUUGUAUCUCUCUCUAUCUCAUUCAUUUAGGUUCAGUCUCUCAGUCUUUGAGUCUCUCUCUCACUCUC